UACGGAGGAUGCGAGCGUUAUCCGGAUUUACUGGGUGUAAAGGGAGCGUAGACGGCACUGCAAGUCUGGAGUGAAAGCCCGAGGCCCAACCACGGGACUGCUCUGGAAACUGCGGGGCUGGAGUGCAGGAGGGGUAAGCGGAAUUCCUAGUGUAGCGGUGAAAUGCGUAGAUAUUAGGAGGAACACCGGUGGCGAAGGCGGCUUACUGGACUGUAACUGACGUUGAGGCUCGAAGGCGUGGGGAGCAAACAGG
This 253-nucleotide ribosomal RNA is filed under the name uncultured bacterium. RNAcentral's name for it is "partial 16S ribosomal RNA". It matches the Rfam family "Bacterial small subunit ribosomal RNA", at positions 524 to 776 of the family's 1533-position model. The record is from RNAcentral.